Ixodes scapularis (black-legged tick) is the source of this 269-nucleotide non-coding RNA. The record is from Rfam. NCBI's taxonomy places the organism in Eukaryota, Metazoa, Arthropoda, Arachnida, Ixodida, Ixodidae.
UGCGUGGUUCUCUGCGCCUUGCACCCUUCUUAGAGGGACAAGCGGCUCCCUCUGGCGGCUCCUAGCCGCACGAAACAGAGCAAUAACAGGUCUGUGGUGCUAUAGAUGUCCGGGGCCGCACGCGCGCUACACUGAAUGAAGCAGCGUGUUUUUAUCCCUGUCUGUAAAGACGGGGUAACCCGUGGAAUGCAGAGUCUCGGCCGACAUCGGUGCUGUUACUCAGUGGAUCCACAGUCAGUGUGGACUUUUCGCGCCUAUAAUCUUAAGGA